RNAcentral lists this ribosomal RNA (254 nucleotides) under uncultured bacterium. RNAcentral describes it as "partial 16S ribosomal RNA". It matches the Rfam family "Bacterial small subunit ribosomal RNA", at positions 524 to 776 of the family's 1533-position model. The record is from RNAcentral.
UACGUAGGGUGCGAGCGUUGUCCGGAAUUAUUGGGCGUAAAGAGCUCGUAGGCGGUGUGUCACGUCGGCCGUGAAAACCUGCAGCUUAACUGUGGGCGUGCGGUCUAUACGGGCAUCACUGGAGUUCGGCAGGGGAGACUGGAAUUCCUGGUGUAGCGGUGAAAUGCGCAGAUAUCAGGAGGAACACCGGUGGCGAAGGCGGGUCUCUGGGCCGAUACUGACGCUGAGGAGCGAAAGCGUGGGGAGCAAACAGG